This 484-nucleotide ribosomal RNA is filed under the name uncultured bacterium. Its description in RNAcentral is "partial 16S ribosomal RNA". It matches the Rfam family "Bacterial small subunit ribosomal RNA", at positions 29 to 507 of the family's 1533-position model. The record is from RNAcentral.
AUUGAACGCUGGCGGCAUGCUUUACACAUGCAAGUCGAACGGCAGCGCGGGCUUCGGCCUGGCGGCGAGUGGCGAACGGGUGAGUAAUGCAACGGAACGGGCCCAGUAGUGGGGGAUAGCCCGGCGAAAGCCGGAUUAAUACCGCAUACGACCUGAGGGUGAAAGCGGGGGACCGAAAGGCCUCGCGCUAUUGGAGCGGCCGAUGUCGGAUUAGCUAGUUGGUGGGGUAAAGGCUUACCAAGGCGACGAUCCGUAGCUGGUCUGAGAGGACGACCAGCCACACUGGGACUGAGACACGGCCCAGACUCCUACGGGAGGCAGCAGUGGGGAAUUUUGGACAAAGGGGGCAACCCUGAUCCAGCCAUGCCGCGUGCGGGAAGAAGGCCUUCGGGUUGUAAACCGCUUUUGUUCGGGAAGAAAUCCUCUGGGCUAAUACCCCGGGGGGAUGACGGUACCGGAAGAAUAAGCACCGGCUAACUACGUG